GACAGUUUGGCCGAGUGGUCUAAGGCGCUGGCUUAAGGCGCCAGUCCGAAAGGGCGUGGGUUCGAACCCCACAGCUGUCA
Molecule: non-coding RNA, 80 nt
Organism: Perkinsus marinus ATCC 50983
Lineage: Eukaryota; Perkinsozoa; Perkinsida; Perkinsidae
Source: Rfam